AUCCUUUCAGCAGCAUAUGUGUUUACAUUGGAACAAUGCAGAGAAGAUUAGCAUGGCUGUAUGCAAGGAUGACAUGGAAAUUUGUGAAGUGUUGCAUAUUUUU
This is a small nuclear RNA of Saimiri boliviensis boliviensis (Bolivian squirrel monkey), 103 nucleotides long. Lineage: Eukaryota; Metazoa; Chordata; Mammalia; Primates; Cebidae. The record is from Ensembl.